RNAcentral lists this ribosomal RNA (407 nucleotides) under uncultured Oscillospiraceae bacterium. Its description in RNAcentral is "bacterial SSU rRNA". It matches the Rfam family "Bacterial small subunit ribosomal RNA", at positions 354 to 776 of the family's 1533-position model. Lineage: Bacteria; Bacillati; Bacillota; Clostridia; Eubacteriales; Oscillospiraceae. The record is from RNAcentral.
GUGGGGAAUAUUGGGCAAUGGGCGCAAGCCUGACCCAGCAACGCCGCGUGAAGGAAGAAGGCUUUCGGGUUGUAAACUUCUUUUCUGGGGGACGAACAAAUGACGGUACCCCAGGAAUAAGCCACGGCUAACUACGUGCCAGCAGCCGCGGUAAUACGUAGGUGGCAAGCGUUAUCCGGAUUUAUUGGGUGUAAAGGGCGUGUAGGCGGGAAUGCAAGUCAGAUGUGAAAACUAUGGGCUCAACCCAUAGCCUGCAUUUGAAACUGUAUUUCUUGAGUGCUGGAGAGGCAAUCGGAAUUCCGUGUGUAGCGGUGAAAUGCGUAGAUAUACGGAGGAACACCAGUGGCGAAGGCGGAUUGCUGGACAGUAACUGACGCUGAGGCGCGAAAGCGUGGGGAGCAAACAGG